AAAGGGCGCACGGUGGAUGCCUUGGCACUAGGAGCCGAUGAAGGACGGGACUAACACCGAUAUGCUUCGGGGAGCUGUAAGUAAGCUUUGAUCCGGAGAUUUCCGAAUGGGGAAACCCACUGUUCGUAAUGGAACAGUAUCUUUACCUGAAUACAUAGGGUACUGAAGGCAGACCCGGGGAACUGAAACAUCUAAGUACACGGAGGAAGAGAAAGCAAACGCGAUUUCCUGAGUAGCGGCGAGCGAAACGGAAUUAGCCCAAACCAAGAGGCUUGCCUCUUGGGGUUGUAGGACACUCAACAUGGAGUUACAAAGGAACGGGGUAAAUGAAGCGAUCUGGAAAGGUCCGUCAAAGAAGGUAAAAACCCUGUAGUUG
RNAcentral lists this ribosomal RNA (376 nucleotides) under Bacillus sp. mrc49. RNAcentral describes it as "bacterial LSU rRNA". It matches the Rfam family "Bacterial large subunit ribosomal RNA", at positions 13 to 381 of the family's 2925-position model. Lineage: Bacteria; Bacillati; Bacillota; Bacilli; Caryophanales; Bacillaceae. The record is from RNAcentral.